RNAcentral lists this ribosomal RNA (116 nucleotides) under Candidatus Sumerlaeota bacterium. The record is from RNAcentral. Lineage: Bacteria; Candidatus Sumerlaeota.
CCCGGUGAUCUCAGCGCAGGGGCCACACCCGUCUCCAUUCCGAACACGGCCGUUAAGCCCUGCAGCGUCGAUGGUACUGCACAUGUCUUGUGUGGGAGAGUAGAACGUCGCCGGGU